This is a small nuclear RNA of Phodopus roborovskii (desert hamster), 139 nucleotides long. RefSeq annotates it as U4 spliceosomal RNA. The transcript has a single exon. The record is from RefSeq and is a predicted model, not a curated record. Lineage: Eukaryota; Metazoa; Chordata; Mammalia; Rodentia; Cricetidae.
AGCUUUUCACAGUGGCAGUAUUGUAGCCAAUGAGGUUUAUCCAAGAUGCAAUUAUUGCUAAUUGAAAACUUUUCCUAAAACAUGUCUUGUAAAUAUUUUGCCUGUAAGUGUACCACAUAUGUGCAGUACCAAUGGAGGU